This 87-nucleotide transfer RNA is filed under the name Phycisphaerales bacterium. RNAcentral's name for it is "tRNA-Ser". It matches the Rfam family "tRNA". From Rfam's summary of the family: Transfer RNA (tRNA) molecules are approximately 80 nucleotides in length. Their secondary structure includes four short double-helical elements and three loops (D, anti-codon, and T loops). Further hydrogen bonds mediate the characteristic L-shaped molecular structure. tRNAs have two regions of fundamental functional importance: the anti-codon, which is responsible for specific mRNA codon recognition, and the 3' end, to which the tRNAs corresponding amino acid is attached (by aminoacyl-tRNA synthetases). tRNAs cope with the degeneracy of the genetic code in two manners: having more than one tRNA (with a specific anti-codon) for a particular amino acid; and 'wobble' base-pairing, i.e. permitting non-standard base-pairing at the 3rd anti-codon position. Lineage: Bacteria; Pseudomonadati; Planctomycetota; Phycisphaerae; Phycisphaerales. The record is from RNAcentral.
GGAGAGGUGUCAGAGCGGUUGAAUGAGCUGGUCUCGAAAACCAGUAUACGGCUUGCCGUAUCGGGAGUUCGAAUCUCCCCCUCUCCG